This 440-nucleotide ribosomal RNA is filed under the name uncultured bacterium. Its description in RNAcentral is "partial 16S ribosomal RNA". It matches the Rfam family "Bacterial small subunit ribosomal RNA", at positions 338 to 795 of the family's 1533-position model. The record is from RNAcentral.
CCUACGGGUGGCAGCAGUGGGGAAUAUUGCACAAUGGGGGGAACCCUGAUGCAGCAACGCCGCGUGGGUGAAGAAGUACUUCGGUAUGUAAAGCCCUGUCAGCAGGGAAGAAAAUGACGGUACCUGACCAAGAAGCUCCGGCUAACUACGUGCCAGCAGCCGCGGUAAUACGUAGGGGGCAAGCGUUAUCCGGAUUUACUGGGUGUUAAGGGAGCGUAGACGGCAAGUCAAGUCUGGGGUGAAAGCCCGUGGCUCAACCACGGGACUGCUUUGGAAACUGUGUUGCUGGAGUGCAGGAGGGGUUAGCGGAAUUCCUGGUGUAGCGGUGAAAUGCGUAGAUAUUAGGAGGAACACCGGUGGCGAAGGCGAGUUACUGGACUGUAACUGACGUUGAGGCUCGAAGGCGUGGGGAGCAAACAGGAUUAGAUACCCCUGUAGUC